GCAGUGAAUUCUACAAAGAGGCUAUGGGAAAGAAACCUGGAAAGUACCCUUGGCUGUGUACAUUUGAGUAAAGAGAGCACUAUAAAAUCAAAAACCAAUGAAAUGGUUUCCAGAACACAGAACUAUUAAGCUUAAGAAAAGGACAGAAGGAACUGAAGAGAGAGGAACUGUUUUGGAGCAUCACACUUCCACCUCAGAAGAAAUAAGGAAGGAAGGAGGAGGGUGUUCCCACGGCUCUUCAACCAGGCCGGCUCUUCAGCCUACAUCCCCAUCUCAUCAAGUAAAAGGGAUUUUUCAACUGGACCAACCAGAUGGUUUAACAGUGCACUCCCACACCAUUCAACUACGCAAGGGAGAUACACUUAACAUAUGCAGUCGUAUAACACCUACUAACAUUUUCAAACAUUAAACCUUUAAAAAAGAGUUCUAAAGAAAUAGAAGCUUGAAGUAUCAUCUCUCAAGUAUAUAGACACUACUUCAUGGUGUGGUAAUAUAUGCAUAUAGAAGCUAGUAAACACCUCCAGGAGAUGCAAAAGGAAUUAGAACUGCCACAAGGUGCAAGCAAAACCUUGAGCUUCUUUAAAAUAUGAAGACUUCGAAGUUAUUUAUCCAAACCAACCUGAUCAUUUCUUAAGAGUGAAUAUACCUUGGAAGACGUGUCCUGCCUUUAGUAGCGUCACAAUGGAUUACAUCCUCUAUAAAGCAGUCUGGGGUGAGAAAAUCGAAUUUGGACACCGUUGAGGAGACUAUUGCAGUCAUCCAAGCUCAAGAUGGUGGAGCUUCAUCCUUGAGAAUAACCAAUGGGGAUAGAUUUAAGAGACACUUAGAGUCUGCAGCCAACAGGGCUGAAUGAGCAUUCUGUUUUUCCUCUUCUAAUCCUUCACCCAUCUGAGCUAAAGUCUAGACCUAAGGAGGCUACUAAUUCAGGGAUCGAGUAAUCUGCCAAGCAAGAGUUUAUUCAAGCACAGUUUGAAAUAAAGGUUUCAAAUGCAUAGCCUGUCGAUACUUUGGAAGGAUUCUCAUCAUAACGAGUAUGCAAUUUGCUAUAAAGAAGAAUGCCCAUUACGGACUAAAUGUUUAUGUCCUCCUAAAAUUCAUAUGUUGAAGGCCUAACUCUCAAUGUGAUGAUUAUGUGGAGAUGGUGCCUUUGGGAGGUAACUGGGCUUAGAUGUGGGCGUGAGGGUGGGGCCUCAUGGUGAAAUUUGUGCCCUUGUAAGAAAAACACACCACAGGUUUUCAUUCUUCCUCUGCCACAUGAGGCCACAGUAAGAAUGUGACCAUCUGCUAGCCAGGAGGAAAGUCCUCACUGGAACCCGCCCAUAAUAACACUCCAGUCUGGGGCUUUUCAGCCUCCAGAACCAUGAGAAAUAAAUUUCUAGUGUUUAAGUCA
RNAcentral lists this long non-coding RNA (1390 nucleotides) under Homo sapiens (human). RNAcentral describes it as "long intergenic non-protein coding RNA 343". The record is from RNAcentral. Lineage: Eukaryota; Metazoa; Chordata; Mammalia; Primates; Hominidae.